UGUUUAAAUAGUUUAAAAAAAAUAUUGAUUUGUGGUGUCAUUGAUGAGAGUUAUUCUCUUUAAACC
RNAcentral lists this transfer RNA (66 nucleotides) under Sarcophaga ruficornis. RNAcentral describes it as "tRNA-His". Lineage: Eukaryota; Metazoa; Arthropoda; Insecta; Diptera; Sarcophagidae. The record is from RNAcentral.